RNAcentral lists this long non-coding RNA (370 nucleotides) under Brassica napus (rape). Its description in RNAcentral is "long non-coding RNA (BNAP_LNC015721)". Lineage: Eukaryota; Viridiplantae; Streptophyta; Magnoliopsida; Brassicales; Brassicaceae. The record is from RNAcentral.
UAAAUCCUAUCGGAUGAUCCGGUCGGCCUCGGGAAGAUCACACGUAGUACUAUAGAGUGGACUAGCUACCACAUUACCUGGCCCGAGUUUGGAAUACCUCCCGACUAAUGUCAGAGGCUGAAUCAAUCAUCUAUUAUUCCGUUAUAUUUAAAAAGUUGAUAUCUAAGUUUAAACAAAAUUUUCCUCCUUAUAAUCCGGCCUUCCUAUUGCUCAACUUCUCAUCUCCAUUCAUAAUUUUUCAUAUCUUAACUUCAUAUAACAAGUUCAACAAACUAUGGAAAUCAGAAUAUGCUAUCGAUUCUUUUUAAAAUGGAAAUCAAAAUAUCUUCGGAACACUCAUUAUACCUAAUCGUUAGCACAUCACUAUAAA